Stomoxys calcitrans (stable fly) is the source of this 1891-nucleotide RNA transcript. It is a transcript of the gene named protein kinase 4, with no coding region annotated. The transcript is spliced from 5 exons. The record is from RefSeq and is a predicted model, not a curated record. Lineage: Eukaryota; Metazoa; Arthropoda; Insecta; Diptera; Muscidae.
AAUAUUGAUUCAAAAAACUGUUUUUAAAUUUUAAUAUUAAGAAAAUAUUUUUUUAAUAUCAUAUAGCUUUUGAUACUUUGUACGAAUAAUAUGUUUGUUAACUUUCUUAGUUCACUGUGUGUAAUUCUUUUAGACAUCACGUCGCGUUUUUGUUUAAAUUGUUCGGCCCGGUGAGGUGAAUACGUCGUCUUAAAAUUUUCCAUAACAUUCAUUGCUCUUUAUUUUGGUUUAUUUCGAAUGCAGAACUCGUUCACAUCGGUCAUCGGCAACAACGUUUUCAAAUAAAACAAAGUACAGUAUAACGUAUAAAGUAAGUUCGAAAUUAAAACAAAGCAAGAAAAGGAAAGAGCAUCAUAAUCGUCAAUAUGGUUUUAACAAAUUUUGAAUUUUGGGCUGCUGACGGCUCUUCAUCACUGCCUUCGUCGGCUACUUCAUUGGAGUUCGAAGCUAGCGCACAUCAUCAUAAUCGUCACAUGAAUCCAUUUGACCCACGUGUUGUUCCCCAUGUGCCCUCUAGAAAUUUGACUCAUCUCUCCUCGAAUGGAUACUAUGGAUUUUCCUAUAUAAAUGCUGCUCAUGACAUGGAAUUGAAUAAUAAUAACAACAACAUAGAUAUUACAAACAACAAUACAUCAGCAACACACAAUUUAAUGGGAAAUGAUGUCAAUGAUACGACAACGCCAGCAGCAUUACAUCAACAGCCUGCUUCACGUUGUAAAAAACGUUUUUUCGUUGUCAGUGGAAAUGAUGCUGACGCCAAUGCUGCUGCCGCUGCGUACUGUGCUGCUGCAGCGGCCAAACGCUGUCGUUACGAUGAUGACAUUGCAGAGUACUGUAAUGAUUUUUUUUCUUUGCCUUCAACACAAAUUGGCACACAAGCGUGCUUAAUGGAUACUGAGGAAGGUGGUAUAAGCAAACAAGAGCCACAUCAUCAAACGCAGCAACAGCAACAGCUACCACAACAGGUCGAUGAGGCAAUGUUUGAAAACAACAACCACAACUACAAUAACAAUAAUAUUGAGAAAUACGAACAAGGCAUUUUACACCUGCAAUUACAACAGCAGAAACAGCACGAACAAUCUACAAUGCAAACACAACAACCACCCACACAACAGCACCAGCAGCAGCCGCAGCAACAUCAUCAUCAGCAACACCACUAUCAAGAUUGUUUAAAAAGCUAAGUUUGGGACAAAGCUUUAACAAAACUGUGCUUAUGGUAAACUCUCCUUAUCAUUGAGGCAUAGAGGUGCAACUGCUGACCAGAUAUCUUCGAAAUAAUGAAAACACGACCAAGGAUCUCUUUACAGUACAGAAAAACUUUUGGGUUUCAAAUGAAUACAUUUUUUCGCUAAGAACCUAGAGAAUAGGCCAUUCUGAGUAUGUCACCACUUUGAAGUUGUUUACACUGAACGCAUACGAGGAUGUUUAUGGGCAAGCUAUAUAGAUUUAUAUAAUUCGUUUUUGAUUAAAUCAAUCAAAUAUAUUAUAGAUGAGCUUUUCUGGACUGGAUAAGGAAAAUAUGGAUGAGCUGCAGGCCUUAUGGUAUAAUAUUACAGGACAGUGUAGCGCUGGACGCACCAGCAAACCCAAGGACACCCACAGUUCUGACAAACGUACCUCAGUAACAUCGACGACGUAAUCAACUCACUCCCACAAUAAAUCGUCAUCGUCUUCCCAUUGUCAUCAACAGAAACUGCCUAGGCAUUUUAGUGGACAUCAUACAUAGCGUACGCAUACCUACGUUGAUACAGGUGGUGGCCGUAAGUGCUACGCUUGUACGAAGUAUCGACACACUAACAAUUUGCGCCCUAAUAAGAAGUUGAAGUACAUUAUAAGUUGAAGACUAUUAUGAUACAAGAAAUACAAAGUUAUUAAAAUAUGUUUGGUUAAA